Molecule: ribosomal RNA, 253 nt
Filed under: uncultured bacterium
Lineage: Bacteria
Description: partial 16S ribosomal RNA
Rfam family: Bacterial small subunit ribosomal RNA
Source: RNAcentral
UACGUAGGGUGCAGGCGUUAACCGGAAUUACUGGGCGUAAAGCGUGCGUAGGCGGUGUCUUAAGUUUGUUGUGAAAUCUCCCGGCUUAACCGGGAGGGUGCGGCGAAUACUGAGAUGCUGGAGUGCCGGAGAGGUAAGCGGAAUUCCUGGUGUAGCGGUGAAAUGCGUAGAUAUCAGGAGGAACACCUGCGGUGUAGACGGCUUACUGGACGGUAACUGACGCUGAGGCACGAAAGCGUGGGUAGCAAACAGG